ACCUCUGCAAUAGGCGAAAGCUUGACAGAGUUACUCUGAGUGAUGCCCGCUAAGGGCAUCUUUUGGCACCUCUAAAAAUGGUGCAGAAUAAGGGGUGGGCAAGUCUGGUGUCAGCCGCCGCGGUAAUACCAGCACCCCGAGUGGUCGGGACGAUUAUUGGGCCUAAAGCAUCCGUAGCUUGUUCUGCAAGUCCUCCGUUAAAUCCACCUGCUCAACAGAUGGGCUGCGGAGGAUACUACAGAGCUAGGAGGCAGGAGAGGCAAGCGGUACUCAGUGGGUAGGGGUAAAAUCCGUUGAUCCAUUGAAGACCACCAGUGGCGAAGGCGGCUUGCCAGAAUGCGCUCGACGGUGAGGGAUGAAAGCUGGGGGAGCAAACCGGAUUAGAUACCCGGGUAGUCCCAGCCGUAAACGAUGCAGACUCGGUGAUGGGUUGGCUUCGUGCUAACCCAGUGCCGCAGGGAAGCCGUUAAGUCUGCCGCCUGGGUGGUACGGUCGCAAGACUGAAACUUAA
Molecule: ribosomal RNA, 511 nt
Filed under: uncultured archaeon
Lineage: Archaea
Description: bacterial SSU rRNA
Rfam family: Archaeal small subunit ribosomal RNA
Source: RNAcentral